UACGUAGGGUGCAAGCGUUAAUCGGAAUUACUGGGCGUAAAGCGUGCGCAGGCGGUGAUGUAAGACAGUUGUGAAAUCCCCGGGCUCAACCUGGGAACUGCAUCUGAAACUGCCUUGCUAGAGUAUGGGAGAGGGAAGUGGAAUUUCCGGUGUAGCGGUGAAAUGCGUAGAUAUCUGGAGGAAUACCGGUGGCGAAGGCGGCAUCCUGGACCGACAUUGACGCUGAGGAGCGAAAGCCAGGGGAGCAAACGGG
RNAcentral lists this ribosomal RNA (253 nucleotides) under uncultured bacterium. RNAcentral describes it as "partial 16S ribosomal RNA". It matches the Rfam family "Bacterial small subunit ribosomal RNA", at positions 524 to 776 of the family's 1533-position model. The record is from RNAcentral.